ACUCUGUCCUGCUGCCCUGUGAAGAAGGUGUCUGCUUCCCCUUCACCUUCUGCCAUGAUUGUCAGUUUCCUGAGGCCUUCCCAGCCAUGCUGAACUAGCAGUGAGUGUACAGCACUUGGCCAAGCAAUGAAAAACAUCAUCUUAAACUGCACAGAGGCCAACAGGUUACAAAGCAUUAUCUCAUUUAAUCUUCACAGUGACCUUACGGCACAGCAGGUAUUGUCAUUCUACAUUCACAGAUGGAGAGACUGAAGCCCAGGAGGUGAAGCAAUACAGCAUGACUCACACACUAAAUGCCAGUGCCAGGACUUGAGCCUCAAGGUUACGCCACCCCACAGCAUUUGUCCUCCAAAAGGCCGGGCUAUCUUCUCACAAUGGCUGUCAGUGUGUUCAUUUUCAAAACCUAAACUAGCUAAGUCUCGAAAGAUGAAAACAAACAAAAAAAUUAACUGAGAAGAAAGGCACCCACAGCUUCAAAAUCCAAAGAAGAAAGUAGACACUUUUGUUUUAGAUCAAGGGAAACCAAAAAACAAAAACGAAAAGUGGUGAGACAGCAUAAUCCCUGAAGGAAAACAGUGACCUUCUCCAGGUUUUAGGAAGACGGUCAAACCCGCAUGCCCCUCCAUGCUUCUAGGAAAAUGUACUACACAUAUUCUUCAGGCAGAUGUGAAUGCUCCAAAGGGGCGCCCCUCUGCAGCUGGCUGACCAGCCCUCCUCUGCUCUGUCGUUUUCAUACAAACAUUUAGAUCUGUGGCUGGGUAGAUAUUAGUGGCUGGGUCAAAAAGACAGUUCUGGUAUGAAAUAUUUAUACUUAAUUGGCCUCUGUGUCUGUCUGUGUAGUUUUGCCAAGCAUUUUAAUACUUUUCCUUGAGUAUUCUUUAUUCUUUUUUGGAAAGAAUGCUAUUCAGGGUAAGAAUGAGGGGGAGUAGGGACACAGCACAAAAGAUUGUCUCCUCCGAAGGCUUUGGGCACUCUUCCCAAAACAGAUGCAGAAGGGAACACUAGCCUCUGCCUUGAAAAUAGUGUGGGAUAUUUAUCUUGAAGUUCACCAUCGUUAUUCUUUGCUUCUUAGCCUUUCUGAUUUAAAUUCCAGUUUAGUCUUGAUUUUGUGGAAUAAUCAAAGUAAUAAAUUGGAGGAAAAUUAUAAUUUCUAGUAUACAAUAUCAUGAGAUAGAGUGUAACUUUUCAUUUGCAAUUUAAUUUUUAUUGUAUUUUAUUUAUUUACUUAUGUAUUUGUAGAGACAGUCUUGUUCUGUUGCCCAGGCUGGGGUGCAAGUGGCACAAUCAUAGCUCACUGCAGCCUUGACCUCCUGGGCUCAGUCAGUCCCCCUGCCUCAACCUCCUGAGUAGCCAGGACCGGAAGCUCAUACUACCAUGUCCAGCUAAGACAGGGUCUCGCUCUGUUGCCCAAGGUGGUCUCAAACUCCUGGCUUCAAACAAUCCUCCUACCUUGGCCUCUCAGAGUGUCGGGAUUACAGGCGUGAGCCACUGCACUUGGUCUGCAAUUUAACUUUUAAAUAAGGCAUUUAUUUGAAUAAUUCUUAUCCAGUAUUUAAAAAAUAUAUUUUUAUCAUUAAAUGGUAGUAUAUACAUUUGUCAUUAAAAAAGUACAAAGUAUUAAAAAAUAUAAAGAGAACAAAAAUCACCCACAAUUCUACCAUGCUGAAAUAAAGAUUAUUAAGUAUAUCCUUUUCCAAUGUUUUCUAUACAUUUUAAUUUCUCUUAAGAAUUUGAAUUUUAUUAUAUAUAGUAUUUCUACACCUUGUUUUUGUGAAAAUUAUAUAGCAAGUGUUUCUCUGUUAUUGUCAUUCUUGUAAACAUAGUUUUUAACAAUCUUCAUGUUAUUCCAAAGUAUAGAUGGUCACAAUUUAUUGGGCGAGUCCAUCAUUAUUUAAUUUUUUUCAUUUUGGUGUAUUAACAAAACCAUGGUGUGCAUCCUGUAGUUACAUCUUUGUCUGAAUCUUUGAUUAUGUCUUUACCAUACUUUCCUAGGAGAGAAAUUAUGGAAACAAAGGAUCAGCACAAUUUUAAGAUGAACUGACCACUUCUUAGCACCUCCACGAUUGACACCUCGUCUUUGUCACCACCUCUCUGCCUGGAUGACUACAGUGGUGGCCCCCUCCCUGCCCUCCAAGUGCCCACGCUUGCCCCUACAGUCUGUUCCCAACACAGCGGCCAGAGAGACCAUCUUGCAAUCAGGCAGGCUCGGCUGGCCCACUUUAGCCUAAAUCCAGGGAUCCAGCAAGCAUUCAUCUCACAUAGCUCGGGUUUUACUGAGCUGGUUCCUCUGCCUGCUUCUCUGAGCUGUUGACCCGUCGAGUACAAGAGAACUACAACCCCCAGCAUGCACUGCGCUGGUACAAGUGGAUCUGCUCGGCACCUAUAACCUAAUUACCUCUCAGGCUCAUACAAGGCUCUGGCCACUAAGCAAACGAUCUCCCAAAGGGAUUAUUCUCAAGCAGCACAGAAACUGUCCCUAUGCCUCAGGUGGCCCCAGGACUCUUUCGUACUAGAGACUUAUCUGUUAAUAAAGUUGACAAAGGAAGGUGGCCUUCCAGGAAUUUUUGUUUGGGCCACUUCCUGGAAGAAUGAACACUUGACCCUGAGAGACUUGGCUGAGCAGUGCUGGGUCAGCUUAACCAAAGAAGACCAGCCAUCACCCACGGCAAGAGCAGCUCUGACUCGGACCCACUGUUCCCCCAGCCUGUUAGCAGCCCGUGAACAAUCUUUAAGUAACCCCUGGCCCUGUCACAUCUCCACUCAACAGGGCUCUUGGGGAGGAUGCGUGGACCCAGAACAGUGCCCACCCACACCACCUGUAAGUGUGGCCAUGGCAGCCAGCCGGCAUGGAUGCUAAGUAACAAGUGGUGUUGGGGCACAGAUGUGGCGGGAGCGCUUUGGGGCAAAGAAAGAGGUGCUGUGAGUGAGGACAGAAAGGAAGGAAAAAAAAAGCCUCAUGGGUUACAGUGCCUCUCGCCUUUGGCUCUUCUUCAGAAGACUGGUAAAAGAAAGCAGGAAGAGAAAUUGGUUUCCCUGACUUCUCUAAAGCAAGCGUUCUUCAGAAAAGAGAAUCGAUCAGCCUGGUUAAAGUGGAUAAACUAUCUGAUGUCCAUCCAGAGAGGUGUCUAUUAAUGGCUGUAAAAUGGAAAGAUGAAUCAAUGGGACCGAUUAAUAUUUAUGAAGAGUUGAACUAGGCAGAGUGAAAGAGCCUUGUGUAUUGGAUAAGAAAGGAAAAGCAUUGCACACCAUAGGAUGCGUUUGUUUGGCUAAGGUUUCUGUUUUGAUCACUGGGUAAUUGUAUAGAGCAGGGGCGUAUGGUAGAGAAAGAAAAUCUAUAUCUAGAAGUUAUUGACUUUAUGUACAAAAGCACUGGUUGGUGCCUAUUUUUGAGGACCACUCCAUCUUAAAAAUAACUUUGGUUUUGUACGGCCUAGUUGUGGUGGAAAAGGAGCUCCAAAGAGUAAGCAAGUUUCCUACAAAAAGAAUCCAAGCUGUUGAAACUACAAUUAAGAAAUGCAAAGAGUUACUAAUUUUACUACUUAGAGGAAAGGAAAUUUACAAGCAAGAAAGAAACUGUAGAUCAGGGCAAGUUGUAACUCUAGAGGUUCAGAGAUAGGCGCUCUAAUUACCCCAGGGCAAGGGAGGACUGUUUGGGGAAAUUUCUGAAAGAUGAAAUAGGAAAGCUGAGGGUCAAAAUGAUAUUGUGAUGAGAAUAAAUAGAGAAGACAUGUUUGCACGAAGCUCAGCUGGGUAAUCAUGAAAAGGAGGAGCGAGGGAGGAAACUGAAAAUCGAAAUAAAGAACAGAAGCACAGACCGUGAAAUAUGCCAAAUAUAGUGUGCAAAUACUCAGAAGGCAUGGAAAGAGAAGUUAGAAGCCAAAACUCAGUUAUCACUAUUGUGUGAAGGAACAAUAGAACUCUUAGCAAAAACAAAUGACUUAGCAUGAGACCAAUACUGCUUUCCUUAGGUAGCUUGGUCCAGAGGGAAAAGGCUGAUAUCACUCCCUAUCAAGGGUUUUUAGACCGUUUAAGUGAGCUCUGCAAGUGGGAGACACGGUGAUGAUUAUUGACAGUUGCUGUCUUUCAAGGGGGAGAAGCAAACUGAUGUUACACAUUAGAAUUCAUUAGCACCACCGAACACAGGUUACAAAAAUACUGGGAGGAAUUCUCUCUCCUGAGCACAUUAAGUAAUAUUUGUAAAUGUGUGCAGUAAGUGUUGACUCUCUCAUCAUGCUGGACCGGGAAAUGGUUCUCAGCAAAUCAUGGCAUGAUUUCUUUUUCAAAGUUGGGUACAUGAAUAUUAUCGUAACCAGCUAAGAGCAGGGAGACGUGCUCUUAAUCUACUUUGACGUGGCAUGGGAGACUAACAGAUAGUGCAGCUUUUAAGAGAAGAUGUAGAAAUCAAUCUAGUAACAAAUAUUUAUUAAGCAUUGGAGUGUGCUAGGCACCAAAAGAAAAGAAACCUCCACAGCUGAUAAAGCCUUUCAAAAUAAUGUCCUCAGUUCAUUUGCACAUUUCCGUGAGGUAGGUGUUGUUAGCCAUUUCCAUUAAUGAGAAAAAAAAAAAUGAGAUUCAGAAAGGUUAAUUAAAUUGGAGAUCUCCUGAUUUUUAGUUUUAUAUCCUUCCCGUGUCCUUUCCAGUCUUAUAUUCCGGUCCUAUCACUUCUCAGCUGAGUUACUUCAACAAGUUAUUUAUCCUCUGUGUUCUCAGCUGUCAGAAUGAAAAUGCCAAUACCUACCUGGUAAGGAGUGAGAAAACAUUUAUAAAAAUGCUCAGCUGGGUACCUGACACAUAGGAGGUCCUCAGUAAAUUUGUUUUCUCUCCCUUUCUUCCGAAGGACGGUGGCAGAUGGAUUCAGCCAGCCAGCCUGGGUAGCACAAGCCAUGACGCCCUGCUGAAUCUGUGUUCUAGGGUUGGACAGGGGGAGUCCUUUUGCCUAGAGGGACGGUGUGCGAGGCCUAAGAGGACUUGGGCAGAGUCUUGAAGGAGGAGCAGGAUUUGCUGUGGUGGAGAGGUGCUCAAGGGUUGAGCAGAUAGGAGAACCAAGGAAUCAAGGCAGGGAAAGAGAGGCGGUGCAUGUGAAGGGCCAGGAGCUGUUAACUAGUUUGCUAAGCAGCAGGCUAGGAUUUAGAAGGAGUUGGAGAAGCGCGGAGGGAGCUGAGGCUCUUGUGAGGGGAACUUUUAUGCUAAGGGUUCCGACUUGGCCCUGUGAGUGAAGGUGAGCUAGGGAAGGUUUGUGAACUUAGAGUCUCACCUGUUAAGAUUAAUCUGGUGCCAGUGUAUAGAAUGGACCAUCAAGGAAGAGGUGGAAAAACAAGGAAAAUUUAUAUUUUAUAGACACACACACACACAUAGACACAGAGCCCUUUUUAUUAUAAAACAUAUAAUCGACUUAACCCCAUUUUAAGUGGCUUGGACAUUAAUUUUACUCUUGUAAUUGAUUAUAGAGAUUUAAAACUGUUGUGUUUUUGCCUUUGUGACAUAUUAUGGCCAUAUCUAAAAUUUAUUUGAUGUUAAAUCAAGAACAAAACUCUUCAAUUCUAUUGUUGUUCCUAAGGUGAAAUAUAAUCUACUUUGAGUCAAUUCACUGUGUCAUAAACUUUCCAGGAAAGGGAAACUUGAUAAAAAGCAGAGACUCACUGCAUAUGACAAUAAUUAAAUCUAUAUUCAACAAGUAUAAAAGAAUGGUUGUAGGGGUAAGCAAUUUGGAAGAAAAAAACCCACUUGACUUAAAUAUGACAGAAAAUCAUACUGAAGUCUGACACCCCAUGACCUUUUUUGAGAUUUGAGGUUAUGCCAUGUAUUUGAGAAUAAACAAAAUCCAGUUAAGUGUC
Long non-coding RNA from Symphalangus syndactylus (siamang), 5834 nucleotides. RefSeq lists it as uncharacterized. The record is from RefSeq and is a predicted model, not a curated record. Lineage: Eukaryota; Metazoa; Chordata; Mammalia; Primates; Hylobatidae.